AUGCAGCGGAGAAACAAGAACUUUGAUCAAGCUGAAUGGUGGUCCAAUCAUGGAUCAAGUGGACCAAAUCUCAGGGUACUGGCUAUGCGGAUUUUGAGCUUGACAUGCAGCUCAUCAGCUUGUGAGAGAAACUUCAAUGUUUUUCAGCAGGUUCAAGGCAGCAAAAGGCGCAACAUGCUACUUCAUGACAAAAUGAGAGAUCUUGUCUUCAUCAAGGCCAACUCCCAACUUGAACAAAAGAGAAUGAACAAAGACAGGGAUCCACUUGUGGACAGAACACAUGCAGAUGUUGUGGAAGAUGAUGAUAACGAGUGGAUCACAGGAAUUGUGUCGAUUCCAGUUGUGGAUACUGCAGAUGAACCUGAAGAAGAACCAAUACCACAACCAAGAGCAAGAGCUGCUGCAUCAAAAAGAAAUAAAGCUCGUCAGCCUAGGAAGAAGUUGCUCCUAGUUUUUCGUGAUGAUGAGCUGCAAUCUGUGGGUUCUUCUUCUGAUUCGGAUGAUGAUGCCAUGGCAGCAAGUCCAUCUGAUUCUGAUUGA
RNAcentral lists this ribosomal RNA (540 nucleotides) under Triticum aestivum (bread wheat). Its description in RNAcentral is "partial small subunit ribosomal RNA". Lineage: Eukaryota; Viridiplantae; Streptophyta; Magnoliopsida; Poales; Poaceae. The record is from RNAcentral.